Molecule: ribosomal RNA, 253 nt
Filed under: uncultured bacterium
Lineage: Bacteria
Description: partial 16S ribosomal RNA
Rfam family: Bacterial small subunit ribosomal RNA
Source: RNAcentral
UACGUAGGGGGCGAGCGUUGUCCGGAAUUAUUGGGCGUAAAGAGCUCGUAGGCGGUCUGUCGCGUCUGCUGUGAAAUCUCGGAGCUCAACUCCGAAACUGCCUUCAAUACUGCUGUGCUCGAGGACUGUAGAGGAGAAUGGAAUUCACGGUGUAGCAGUGAAAUGCGUAGAUAUCGUGAGGAAGACCAGUGGCAAAGGCGAUUCUCUGGGCAGUUCCUGACACUGAGGCACGAAGGCUAGGGGAGCAAACGGG